Molecule: non-coding RNA, 50 nt
Organism: Schistosoma mattheei
Lineage: Eukaryota; Metazoa; Platyhelminthes; Trematoda; Strigeidida; Schistosomatidae
Source: Rfam
UUCCAGCUGACGAGUCCCAAAUAAGACGAAACACGUGUCCUUACUUGUAA